GGAGGAGUCGGAUAAUGGUAUUCCAAUGGACUGCUAAUCCAUCGCGGCGUAAAAGCCGCUUGUGGGUUCAAAUCCCACCUCCUCCG
RNAcentral lists this transfer RNA (86 nucleotides) under bacterium. RNAcentral's name for it is "tRNA-Ser". It matches the Rfam family "tRNA". Rfam says of the family: Transfer RNA (tRNA) molecules are approximately 80 nucleotides in length. Their secondary structure includes four short double-helical elements and three loops (D, anti-codon, and T loops). Further hydrogen bonds mediate the characteristic L-shaped molecular structure. tRNAs have two regions of fundamental functional importance: the anti-codon, which is responsible for specific mRNA codon recognition, and the 3' end, to which the tRNAs corresponding amino acid is attached (by aminoacyl-tRNA synthetases). tRNAs cope with the degeneracy of the genetic code in two manners: having more than one tRNA (with a specific anti-codon) for a particular amino acid; and 'wobble' base-pairing, i.e. permitting non-standard base-pairing at the 3rd anti-codon position. The record is from RNAcentral.